AUUGGCAUACAGACAGACAUGUUGGUCAAUGGAACAGAAUAGAGAGUACAAAAAUAAACCUUUACAUUUAUGGACAAUUGAUUUUUGACAGUGGUGCAAAGGCAAUCCCCGUAGAAAAGACAGCUUUUUUUCAACAGAUAAUGUUUAUUGAUAUGGUUUGGCUGUGUCCCCACACAGAUUUCAUCUUGAAUUAUAGUUUUCAUAAUCCCCAUGUGUCAUGGGAGGGACCCGGUGGGAGGUAAUUGAAUCAUGGGGGCAGUUACCCUCAUGCUGUUCUCAUGAUAGUGAGUGAGUUCUCAUGAGAUCUGGUGGUUUUAUAAGGGCCUUUCCCCUUUUUGCUUGACACUUCUCCUUGCUGCCACCACGUGAAGAAGGAUGUGUUUGCUUCCCUUUCUACCAGAUUGUAAGUUUCCUGAGGCCUCCCCAGCCAUGCUGAACUGAGUCAAUUAAACCUCUUUCCAUUAUAAAUUACCUAAUCUUUGGUAUGUCUUUAUUAGCAGCGUAAGAAUGGACUAAUAUAGAAUUGAAUUGAUAUACAAUAAAUGACUUUAGACCUUUAUCUCACAUCAUACACAAAAUUAUUAUUUUUUGCCUUUUUAAUUUGUAUUUUUAUUUAAUAUUUUUUAUUUCAAUAGCUUUUGGGGUACAAGUGGUUUUUGGUUGCAUGGAUGAAUUGUACAGUGAUGAAAUCUGAGAUUUUAAUGCAAGCGUCACCUGAGUAAUAUACGUUGUACCAAAUAUGUAGCUUUUUGUCACUUGCCCUCCCUCCUACCCUCCCCCUUCUGAGUCUCCAUAGUCCAUUAUAUCACUCUGUAUGCCUUUGCAUACCCAUAGCUUAGCUCCCACUGGUAAGCGAGAACAUGCAAUAUUUGGCUUUCUAUUCCUGAGUUAUUUCACUUAGAAUUAUGGCCGCCGGCUCCAUCAAAGUUGCUGCAGAAAACAUUAUUUUAUUCUUGCUUAUGGCUGAGUCGUAUUUAUGGUAUAUAUAUACCUUAUUUUCCUUAUCCACUUAUUGGUUGAUGAGCACUUAGGUUAGUUCCUUAUCUUUGCAGUUGUGAAUUGUGCUGCAAUGAAUAUAUGCAUGCAGGUGUCUUUUUUAUAAUGAUUUUUUUUCCUUUGGGUAGAUACUCAGAAAUGGGAUUGUUGGAUCGAAUGGUAGCUCUACUUUUAAUUUUUAAAGAAAUCUCCAUACUGUUUUCUAUAGAGGUUGUACUAAUUUACAUUCCCACCAGCAGAUAUACACAAAAAUUAAUUUAAAUGGACCAUAAGCUUCCAUGUAAGAACUAAAACUAUAAAACUUCUUUAAAAGAUAGAAGAAAAAUCUUUGUGGCCUUGAAUUAGGUAAAAAAAAGAUUUUUAGAUUUGACAUCAAAAAUAUGAUUCAUAAAAGAAAAUAUUGAUAAAUUAUACUUCAACAAAAUUUAAAACUUUUCUUCUUCAAAAGACAGCAUUAAGAAAGUAAACAGAUAAACUAUACACUUGGAGAAAAUAUUUGCAAAUGGUUUAUUUGAUCAAGGAUUUAUAUACAGAUAAUGCAAAGAAUUUGAACAGCUCAAUAGUUAGAAGCUAAUUAAAAAUGUGUAAAGGAUUUUAGUAGACAUAUCACCUAAGAAGAUAUAUAAAUGGCUAACACAUGAAAAAUGUUCCAAAUAAUUAAUCAUUAGGGAAAUGCAACUAAAACCAGAAUAACGUACAUUCAGUUCAUACCCACUAAAAUGCCUAUAAUUAAGAGAUUGACAAUACCAAGUAUUGACAAGUAUGUGUUGGUAAGAUUUUAAAAUGACAUAGUCAUUUGGAAAAUAGUUUGAAAGUGUGUUAAAAAGUUAAACCUGUACUUAACAAACGAUCCAUCAAUUUCACUCCUAAGUAUCUAUGAAGAGAAUUGAAGGUUUAUGUCUACCUAAAAGCGUACAUGGGGGUGUUUGAAGCCACAUUAUUCAUAAUAAGUAAAAACUGAAAAUAAUUCAAAUAUCCAUUAACUGGUGCAUAGAUAAAGUAAACUAUCCAUUAACUGGUGCAUAGUAGAUCUGUACAAUGGAAUCCCUAGCAGCAGCGAACCAAGGCUUCAAAGUUCCCUAGUGGUUUCUUUGCCCUCACUGCUGCAUGCCACAAAAAGACCAUGCUAUGAAAAGACCAACAUCUCCAAGCAUAGCUGUAGAUGACUUUGCUUUCACUUCUGGUUACAACUGAACUUACUCAUUCUUUGUCUUCUAAAGAAGCCAUUCAUUUCUUGAGAACUUUUCUGGUGUUUGGUUCCAGAAUCUGUCUUUUAGAUGACAAUUUUUUUUCUUCAGAGUUAGACACAGACUCCAUGGCAUUUUACUAUAUUUAUAGCGUAUUUUUAUUAUAGUUAUGAAAUCAGUUUUUUUCUUUUUAAUGGAGUUCUUUUUCAAGUUUGAUUUUUUCUUUUUUCUUUUCUUUUUUUUUUGUGUGUGUGUUUGUUUGUUGAGACAGGGUUUCACUCUGUCACCUAGGCUGGAGUGCAGUGGCAUGACCUCAGCUCACUGCAACCUCCACCUCCUGGGUUCAAGCCAUUCUCCUACCUUAGCCUCCAGAGUAGCUGGGACUAGAGGUAGGCACCACUACGCCUGGCUAAUUUUUGUAUUUUUUUGUAGAGACAGGGUUUCACCAUGUUGGUCAGGCUGGUCUUGAACCCCUGACCUCAAGUGAUCCACCCACCUUGGCCUUCCAAAAUGCUGGGAUUACAGGCGUGAGCUACUAUGCCCAGCCCCGAAUUUGAUUUUAUUAUACCAAUAUUAUCUUCUCCCCCUCCCACAGUUCCCCAAACACUUCUCUACACACUCUGGUCUGGCACAGUUUCAAAUUUGUGGAGUUGAUAUCUGGGGCUCCUACUGGAAGGAGGAUAAAAACAGAAGGAAUUUGGCACGGGGCUCCUCCAUCUUCCACGCAUGCGGCAUUUGUUCUGAGAAUGUCAGCUCCCUCACAGUGCAUGUCAGAAUGGCAUGCCAGCAUGGGCCUCUGGUCUAGCACACAGAAAGGGUGAAGAGUACACAUGGUGACCAUUGUCACUUUGCAGAUUUCCUGCCUCCCACUCACAUGUCUGAGACCAGUUUUGCUACUGUUGCACCGCUAACCACAGAAGCCAGAAAGGGAAACGACUUUCUUUCUUUUCUUCUUUUUUUUUUUUUUUUUUUGAGAUGGAGUCUCACUUUGUCGCCAGGCUGGAGUGCAGUGGCACGAUCUCGGCUCACCGCAACCUCCAACUCCCUGGUUCAAGCUAUUCUCCUGCCUCAGCCUCCCAAGUAGCUGGGAUUACAGGCAUGCACCACCACACCCAGCUAAUUUGUGUAUUUUUAGUAGAGACAGGAUUUCACCACGUUGGCCAGGCUGGUCUUGAUCUCCUGACUGUGUGAUCCACCCGCCUUGGCCUGUCAAAGUGAUGAGAUUACAGGCGUGAGCCACUGAGCCCAGCCAGGGAAAAUAAGUUUUCAAUAGAGAAUUUUCUAUUAAGGAAGAGAGUGUUCUUUCAGCAAAGACAGGCUUUAGCCACACCUGUUUUUAUAAGGAUUUGAGGGGAGGGAAAUAUGCCAAGAGACAACUUCAGAAGUUUAUAAAGACAAGAGCGACCUCUCCAAAACAGCUAGGAGAGUGGGUCUUUAGUGGUGAGGUCUUCAUCUCUGUCUGAUCUCUCUAGGCUGAAGGAAAGAUGUGAAUUUGCUGUGAAGGGAUAUUCUCCUCAAGGACACUUACCAUCUGUUUCCUGGGGAUAGGAAGGUAAGUCAUCAGUGUCAAGAACCUUACUGGUAAAACAAUAAAACAAUGUAUUCAUUCGGAUUUGUGCUCUUUAAGUGAGAGGGGUUCUAGAACAGCCUUUCUGUCUGGACCCCUUGAUGGUAAACCAUCCCGUGUGAGGUCUGCUCUUUACUGUGUGGACGAGGCCAGGGCUGUUAUUUGACAUCCGUGGCCACAGCCCACAGUCUAACGUCGGCCAGCUCCGGUGUGAUUGUACUUAGUACAUCAGUAGUCAUGAGAAAACUGGCUAAGAAAACACAGAGCUUCAACUGGAACAAAAUAUUAUACGUGCAACACCCAUGACCGUGUGGCUGUUUUAUCCCCAUUGCUCCUUUCUUUUCUGCAGAAGGUUCUUUUUAAAUUUUAACGUAUAUUUGUCCAAUUGUUUGGUAAUGCAAUUGUACAAAUAUACGUCAAGUUGCCUGGAAUUCUCCUUUCGUGUGCAGACAGGCUGAUCCAAGUCUGUGCCUCCAUCUACCUUCUAUAUAACUCUCACACACCAAACCAAUAUUUCCCUUAUCCUAAAUCAACCCAAGGCCAGGUUCCAGGCAACUAGAGACCACCCCCUAUAGCCCAGGCUCACCCAUGUUAUUCAAAGUAGCCAGUCCUAAACUGAUGGCCCGGCCCUGCCUUGCCUUUCCUGCAGAAACUCCAGUAAGGGCUGUGGCCCACGCCUUCUCACUCAUCUUUUGCCUCUUGACCAUCCUAACGCUUUCUCUGUGGCCCUGCGUGUUGUGGCAUGUCCCCUCCUCUCAGGAACUGUAAGAAAACUUCUUUCAGUAACAUUGGCCUCUCCACAUCAUCAUUCAGUCACUUCCAUAAACUAAAAUCCUGCUGUUACAAUUGAGACAAUAUAUAUAUUGUCUCAAUAUAUAAAGAACAUAUAAUAUAUAAAGAAUAGUAUAA
This 4659-nucleotide long non-coding RNA is filed under the name Homo sapiens (human). RNAcentral describes it as "HSALNT0038216". The record is from RNAcentral. Lineage: Eukaryota; Metazoa; Chordata; Mammalia; Primates; Hominidae.